RNAcentral lists this ribosomal RNA (427 nucleotides) under uncultured bacterium. RNAcentral describes it as "partial 16S ribosomal RNA". It matches the Rfam family "Bacterial small subunit ribosomal RNA", at positions 355 to 774 of the family's 1533-position model. The record is from RNAcentral.
UGGGGAAUAUUGCACAAUGGGCGCAAGCCUGAUGCAGCCAUGCCGCGUGUAUGAAGAAGGCCUUCGGGUUGUAAAGUACUUUCAGCGAGGAGGAAGGCGUUGUGGUUAAUAACAGCAGCGAUUGACGUUACUCGCAGAAGAAGCACCGGCUAACUCCGUGCCAGCAGCCGCGGUAAUACGGAGGGUGCAAGCGUUAAUCGGAAUUACUGGGCGUAAAGCGCACGCAGGCGGUCUGUCAAGUCGGAUGUGAAAUCCCCGGGCUCAACCUGGGAACUGCAUCCGAAACUGGCAGGCUAGAGUCUUGUAGAGGGGGGUAGAAUUCCAGGUGUAGCGGUGAAAUGCGUAGAGAUCUGGAGGAAUACCGGUGGCGAAGGCGGCCCCCUGGACAAAGACUGACGCUCAGGUGCGAAAGCGUGGGGAGCAAACA